RNAcentral lists this ribosomal RNA (474 nucleotides) under uncultured bacterium. RNAcentral describes it as "SSU rRNA". It matches the Rfam family "Bacterial small subunit ribosomal RNA", at positions 26 to 518 of the family's 1533-position model. The record is from RNAcentral.
AGGACGAACGCUGGCGGCGUGCUUAACACAUGCAAGUCGAGCGGAAAGGCCCUUCGGGGUACUCGAGCGGCGAACGGGUGAGUAACACGUGAGCAACCUGCCCCUGGCUCUGGGAUAGCUCCGGGAAACCGGGAUUAAUACCGGAUGUGACCUUCUCCUGCAUGGGAGUUGGUGGAAAGUUUUUCGGCUGGGGAUGGGCUCGCGGCCUAUCAGCUUGUUGGUGGGGUGAUGGCCUACCAAGGCGACGACGGGUAGCCGGCCUGAGAGGGCGGGCGGCCACACUGGGACUGAGACACGGCCCAGACUCCUACGGGAGGCAGCAGUGGGGAAUAUUGCGCAAUGGGCGGAAGCCUGACGCAGCGACGCCGCGUGGGGGAUGAAGGCCUUCGGGUUGUAAACCUCUUUCACCAGGGACGAAGCGGAAGUGACGGUACCUGGGGAAGAAGCGCCGGCUAACUACGUGCCAGCAGCCGC